AACAAGUACCGCGAGGUA
This 18-nucleotide small nuclear RNA is filed under the name Arabidopsis thaliana (thale cress). RNAcentral describes it as "snRNA_04713". Lineage: Eukaryota; Viridiplantae; Streptophyta; Magnoliopsida; Brassicales; Brassicaceae. The record is from RNAcentral.